UAGAAUUAGGGUUUUGAAGGAGAGUGCGAUUGGGUGUGCAAAUGAGGCUGAUAAUCAUUUUAUACAUAGGUAAGAUGUUAACCAGCCACGUCAGUCCACACAUGUUUAGCCACAUCAGCAAUAUUUUAACCUAUUCGGAUUAUUAUUGGUGAUUAAAUGAGUUAGGAUUAUGAUUGGCCAAUAACAGUGAGUUGAGAUUAUUUAUUUCCAAUUUGCCAAAUAAAUUUACGCUUUUGCUCUCAGCUAAAAAUUUCAAUUUCGCCCUUGAUUUAAAAUUACGAUUUUGCCCCGUUUAAAUUUAUUGUUUAGCCUGAAGUUUUUUUUCCUCCCAGCCAAGUUACGAUUUUGCCCUCAACUUAAAUUUACAUUUUUUCCAUCGUUUUUGUUUGUUUUUCUAGUUAAAGUACAAUAGUAUUAAAUUACAGUUAUGCCAUGUCAUUGUUUUAGUUUUUUUUAACUACUGCAGUGUUUUGUUUAAAUUGGCUGACUCGAUGUAAUUUUUAUUCGUGACAUGUAGCUGCCAGACACACACUCAUUUGUCCUGAAAAAUUAUAAGUUUCCCCCCUGUUUAAAAUUUUAGUUUUUCUAUCUUUUUUUAGCAAUAAUAUGAUAAUGGUUGAUUCGAUGUAAUUUUUUUGAGAUCGUGUUGUGAAUAGUAUGUGUAAGUAAAAAAAACACACACGUACAUAUUAUGAGAGAGAAAAAAUCGCCUUAGUGCCCCGCAAUGCGGGCGGAGCAAACACUAGUUCAUUACAAAAUAGAAAAAUAAAUGUUUAAAAAUUAAAACUUUUUAUUAUUAAAUAUUAUAAUCCGUAGCAAACACGAUAGCAAUAUCAGAGAAUCUAUACUUAAAAAAAACUGAAUUAAUAAAACAUGUAGAAAAAAGUCCAGAUAUAGAUAUAAAAUAUCGGAUAUAUUUUUUUUUAAAUUGAUAGCAAAAUCCAGAAUUAACUAGGCAAUAAAUUAUAAUAACUAAAUUAGAGGUAUAACUCAUUAACACCAACACCAAGUAAAAAUUAAAACUUCCACGCCUGAUUUCCGCCCCCUAAUGCGACCACACCCCUACAUUUCCCCCAAUAUAUCUAUAAAAAAAUAUAUCUAAACAUUAAUGAAAAUAACUUUAUGAACUACUUAAUGUUUCCCUCACAAGUCACAACCACCACAAAUUUUUCCCACCGUACCAAAAUUUUGAUUUCACCAAAAGUUCCCUCUCAUUUUAAUUACCGCUAAAAGUUUUCCUUAAUUUACGGAAGUAACUGAAUUCAAACCCUUAUAUUUUAAUACUCCCCCCAAUUCCUUCAGUUACUUAUUUCUUCCACCUUGUAAAGAACGCCCCUUUACUCUUAUAGCCCCAUCGUCUCUUGCUUAUGGCCAUCUUCAAAAUUUUAAUGCUUGAUUCGAUGUCAUGUCCUCCUUGUUUGGAAUGUACAUCCCGGUUUGCCAUCAUUUGUUGACUUUUGAAAGGGGAUUUCUCAUUUUGAAUUUAUAAGAGAGUGGUAAAGCCAUAUGAUAAGGCUGCUAAAUGUACCAAGUAUGAUACUGAUAUUUGAAGAAACAAGCAAAAGCAUUGAAGAUUACUGUCUGCCAGUUAUAAUUGAAGGAGUGCAAAGGGGAGGGAAAACUAGAUAGUCAAACAUUCUAAAGUUAUACUUGAAGGAUGUGGGGAUUACCUUAUUUACCAUUAAUUUUCAAACAUUCUAAAGUUAUACUUGAAGGAUGUGCAAUCAACACAAGAUAGAUUUGAUGAAAUCCACGUUCCUUCUAUAUUUUUUUAAGUCACUUUAUUUGUUUUUUAGUUAAAUAAUUUAUUUUACUAGU
This 1818-nucleotide long non-coding RNA is filed under the name Helianthus annuus (common sunflower). Lineage: Eukaryota; Viridiplantae; Streptophyta; Magnoliopsida; Asterales; Asteraceae. The record is from RNAcentral.